CAGAGAACAAGCUGUUUCUUUUUGUUGGAACAGCAGCACACUUGCAAGCAAUAAUAUGUAAUAAUAGCACAGGUAAUGCCAUGAGCUCAUGACCUCACUCCCAACUGUGAUUUUUUCCUUCAGGGCUUUCUGAGAGGGUCCCAAGAGCAGAGUUCCUGAGGAGCUGUGCAGUAUUCUCUAGAAAGACCCAUGUCUGUUACCCUCUCCUCUUUUCAUGAAUGGCUGUCUUGGGAGGGGAACAAUGGAGUGAGUGUAUCAUCUCCAGCAAUCACAAACCUUUCACCACAGAUUUCAAAGGCAUAUAUUCCAGCCACAGUGUGCUCUGAAAUCUUGCCCUUGGCUUUCAUCCAUGCUCUUCAGGGUUACAAGUGAGCAACACCUUCGAACAACAGUGUACAGAAAUAGAACGUCUAGAGUGAGACUGGGGCAGGGUGAGUACCUAGUAUUGAAAGAAAAAGGAUCUCAUGGUGCUAGAAAGGAUGAGAUCCAAGGUACUGGUGAAGGGAUUAACUCUAGCAAAGAGAAGGGAUAAGACACUUGUUGAGUGCAAAUGAAAAUGUAUCUUCUUGUCUUUCAAGAAUCCAAGUGAUAUUCAUUUCUUCCGCUUAUGUACCCAUCAAUUCCACUCAUAAUUAGAAGAUUAUCUGCUGAGCAAAAAUCUCUUGGAUAAAUUCCCACAAGUGAGAUUUGAGUCACUGUGCACAUUUUUAAUAUUAAUCCAUAUUGCU
This 728-nucleotide long non-coding RNA is filed under the name Ovis aries (sheep). Its description in RNAcentral is "lncRNA (ENSOARG00000026195.1)". The record is from RNAcentral. Lineage: Eukaryota; Metazoa; Chordata; Mammalia; Artiodactyla; Bovidae.